CCAAGUUUGUUAUCCGUCUGACGGACACGCCUCGCGAGUGAUGAAAGCGUUCGGGUCGUAAACUCUGUUGUUAGGGAAGAACAAGUGCUAGUUGAAUAAGCCGGCACCUUGACGGUACCUAACCCGAAGCCACGGCUAACUACGUGCCAGCAGCCGCGGUAUACGUAAGUAGCACGCGUUAUCCGGAAAUAUUGGGCGUAAAGCGCGCGCAGUGGUUUCUUAAGUCUGAUGUGAAAGCCCACGGCUCAACCGUGGAGGGUCAAUGGAAACUGGGAGACUUGACGCAUAAAACGAAAGUGGAAUUCCAUGUGUAGCGGUGAAAUGCGUAGAGAUAUGGAGGAACACCACUGGCGAACGAGACUUUCUGGUCUGUAACUGACACUGAGGCGCGAAAGCGUGGGGAGCAAACAGGAUUAGAUACCCGGUUUUUUUCCAAA
Molecule: ribosomal RNA, 437 nt
Filed under: Bacillus sp. (in: firmicutes)
Lineage: Bacteria; Bacillati; Bacillota; Bacilli; Caryophanales; Bacillaceae
Description: bacterial SSU rRNA
Rfam family: Bacterial small subunit ribosomal RNA
Source: RNAcentral